CACGGGGUUGCGAGCGUUGUCCGGAAUUACUAGGCGUAAAGGGCAGGCAGGCGGAUCCAUAAGUUUAUCGUUUAAGGCGUCGGCUUAACCGGCGUAGGGCGGUAGAUACUGUGGAUCUGGAAUGCGGUUGGGGAAGACAGAAUUCCUGGUGUAGCGGUGGAAUGCGCAGAGAUCAGGAGGAAUACCGAAGGCGAAGGCAGUCUUCCAAGCCGUUAUUGACGCUCAACUGCGAAGGUGUGGGUAUCAAACAGGAUUAGAUAUCCUGGUAGUCCCU
This 274-nucleotide ribosomal RNA is filed under the name uncultured prokaryote. Its description in RNAcentral is "partial 16S ribosomal RNA". It matches the Rfam family "Bacterial small subunit ribosomal RNA", at positions 524 to 798 of the family's 1533-position model. The record is from RNAcentral.